This 240-nucleotide unclassified non-coding RNA is filed under the name soil metagenome. Its description in RNAcentral is "partial contains 5.8S ribosomal RNA, internal transcribed spacer 2, and large subunit ribosomal RNA". The record is from RNAcentral.
AACAUCGCGCACCUGCGGGAACCUGCGGAAGGAUCAUUACCGAGUUAGGGUCUUCCUGGCCCGACCUCCAACCCUUUGUUUACUAUACCCAUGUUGCUUUGGCGGGCCUGCCUUUCGGGGCUGCCGGGGGCAUCACUGCCCUUGACCUGUGCCUGCCAGGAGCCUUCUUUAAAUUUUGUGUUCAACUGUGUUGUCUGAGUCCCAAUAUCAAAAUAUAAAAAACUUUUAACAACGGAUCUC